GAAGCUGCACCCUUGGAGGAGGGAACAUCUGACGAAGUUCAAUGCUUGGGGAAAACAAUAUCUGGAAAGAUUGAACAGUCAGCAGGAGAAACACCUAGGAAAAUUACAAGACCUGUGAAAAAAAAACAGCUACAAAAGCAAGUACAAAUAGAUUCAACUAGCCUAUCAAAAAUCUUGGAUGCAGUUCUUUCUUGUGAAAGAGCAAGGGAACUUAAAAAAUAUCCCUGUGAAAAAAAAUCCCUGUGAACAACUUACAGCAAAAAUGAAACAAAUGAAAAAUAAGCUUCGUGUACUACAAAAUGAACUAUCAGAACCAAAAGAAAUAAAAUCAGAAUAAGAGAAGAAAUGCCAAUAUAUUAAAAGAAAAAAUA
This 371-nucleotide long non-coding RNA is filed under the name Homo sapiens (human). RNAcentral describes it as "non-protein coding lnc-OR11H1-4:1". Lineage: Eukaryota; Metazoa; Chordata; Mammalia; Primates; Hominidae. The record is from RNAcentral.